Calidris pugnax (ruff) is the source of this 4324-nucleotide long non-coding RNA. RefSeq lists it as uncharacterized. The record is from RefSeq and is a predicted model, not a curated record. The transcript has 7 exons. Lineage: Eukaryota; Metazoa; Chordata; Aves; Charadriiformes; Scolopacidae.
GGUCCUGUUUCAGACCUGUCAGUCUCAUGUAGACGUUUGGAUACUGCAGCAGCAGAUCUCUGUCCUCAGGCAAUGAGAUCAAGCCCAAAGCGUGACAAGAUAAUGACAAGAGACAUUUUAACAACUGCACAAGUAAAGAGAGAUCUGGGAAGAUGGUGCGUGAAGCUGGUAGCUGAGACAUCUUCAUGGGGCUGGCAGCUAUUACACAGCGCCUGUGGGAUGGCAGCGCUCGCCUGGAGCAGCAGCUGGAAAUGGAGCAGAAUUGCAUAUGCAAUGGCACUGGCCACCUAUUCGUUCUGAGCACCUUUUUCCUGUCCUUACCAGGACAGAUUUCAAGAAGAAGGAUCUCCACAAUUACAUCCCGACAAAAAGGAUUGAGAUGUCGUCUGUCUUCUAUUUCUCUUCUGAAACCAGAGUGAUGGGAAGUUAUUGAAAGUGAGCUCUGUGCACACUCUUCAAUCAAAAAUGGUUGAAAGACAAAGCAGAACUACAAGCCAGUGGCUGUAAACUCACCUGGAGUGACAGACUCAACCUAUCUGCAGCGCUGCUGAAUGUGAGGAACCAGAUUCGGUCUUACAAUAUGACAGCGAUUCUGGUUUCUGUUAUUUGCUUGCUGGUUAUCUCAAGCCAAAGUGACUCUGCAGAGAACCUCACAUCAUAUGACACCAGUCAACUACAUACUGUUUAUCUUCACUGCAGGAUAAUAAAGAGAAACAAAGCUAUCUGGCCUAAAUUGCAGGACAGCCUGCAAUUUGACUUGCGGUUUUUCAAGGACUUCUGCACUCCACAGUUCAGCACCUACAAGAAAAAAGACUCACAGAGCAAGCAGACAGAGGAAAUAACAGCAAGAGACAGAAUCCUGUAUUAAGCUGGAGUCAGGACAUGGUUGUUAAAAAGGAUGUUACCUCAGCCAUUAUAAAAGCGAAAGGGAUGAGCUGAUUUGGAAAACAAGCAGAAGACAAAAUGGGCUGAAGACUGUAAAUUAUAAAGCUGGGAAAACUGAUGAAGAGGACUAUCUUUUCAAAGAUCAAAUACAGCUAUUUGCAGCAAAACUGUAGGAAACAAGUAGGUUUUGCUCUCUUGUGUGGUGAUUCUGAGGAAGCAUCCAUGCUUGAGUAGGGUGUCAAAUGAGUGCAUUUGCUGCCCUUCCAGGAGACCAGAUGCUGGCAAGCUGGGCAAUAGGCUGAGGGACAGCAUGGGAGAACUGCUUAAAGCAUCGACAUGGGUACCUUUGCCAUUUUCUCAACCAACUCCUUUCUGUCCCUCCCUUUGCAAGGAAGGGGACAGGCAGAGGAGGGAAAAGAAAGAAACAAAGAAUAUGUCAUUAAAAAUAUAAUGAGGUGAAGGAAAGGGCACUUGAAAGUAGGGAUCUGGCAGACAGGCCAAACUCUUGAAGCCGUAGAAAGCAUUAUUGAUAGGGUGAUAUCAAUAAUGAAUGUGAAUGGGAGGUAAGAAGCUGAGAGGAGGAUGCGAGUGCAGGUUUGCAGUAAAAGAAGAGGGAUGAAGCACACUUGGGCUAAUGAGGCAGUGGCUGCUGCACUAGGGGCAGGAGGUUACUUGCUCUGACUUCUCUUUUGGCUUUGCAAAUGCAGGGAGGAAGUGGAAAGAUUACGGGAUCUUCCCUUUCUGGUACAGCUGCUGGAGAAAUCUCUCCUGUUCUCUAUGUCGCACUGAGGUCAAACGAGUGUCAGCUCUUUUAGAGAAAAAGAAAUGAUAAAAUCUGCACAAGGGCAGAAGGUGGAAGAGCAGAGUCAAAGUGUGGAGCUGGAGAUGCAGUCACAGCGUCACCUCUGUAGGGGAGUGCUUCACUUCAUGUUCAGACAAGGAGUGCAGUGUGGUUUCUGGUAGGUGUCCUCAUGCUGGUCAUUGAGUAAAAAAGACUGCAGACCUGUGUGGCUGUUCUUCCAUAAGACUAGGUCCCCAAUACACGUUAUGUUAACCAGCAGGUGGCGUUUGGAUGUUUCCUUCAAGUAUGGCAACCACAAACUACUUUUCUCUUGUCCUCUCUUCCAUGUUUUUGCUAAGUACAUUGAAGUACCUCUCAAAUUACUGUUCAUUGAAGGUAAGAGAAGAUUAUUCUUCUCAGUACUGCCCAACUAAGACUCACAAUGACUAAAAGGAAAUUGCUUCUAGUCAGCUAGGACUUGAUCCUGUUGUUAUUGACUUUGGAAGAGCUGAAAAACCUGUGCUUAAAGUUACUUACAUGCAUCUUCUUGUUUUUGCAGUUCAGCAAAUACCACACACAUUUUAGGAACAUCUUUGGAAUCCCUGAAUGUUCCAAAGACAGAACAUUUCUCUGGAAAUCUCAGGGGAUUUUCUUAACGGAUUUCAGCAUCUUUGAACUUCCUCUCAGAAUGGAAAGGUAAAUUUAUGUUCUUGUCAUUUUUGGUGUUUCUAAACAGGAAUAUGAAAAUAAAGGCUAAAAGCAGCUCUGUAUUGGCUGAUUUCUUCUUCAGAACUUCCCAGAAAAUAAGGUUAAAAACCCAGAAUAUUGGUAUUUUGGAAGAAAUCAUGCUAAUUCUUUACUGACUCGUCUCUAUUUACCUAACUCUUAUGCCUUUUCCUGUUAGUUUCCAAGGAAGACUGACCCUUCUCCUCUACUCACCUGGUUAGUGCUGAAGACAUGAGUUCUCAAACCUAGAUUGAGUGCACCCAUCAGUGUCUAAAACAAUCUUUGAAAUUUAAGGAUGAGGAUAAGAACAUAAAGUUCUCCUCAGUAUAAGUGCAAAGCACAUCAGAAAGUAGAUUUGAAAAUCCAAUCAAUCUCUCUAAGGACUGAAACAAUUAGAAGUGAUAGAAAUAUGUAAAUAAAUGUCCUUUCAGUAGCUGACAUAAGCAGAAAUUCUUUUUUUUUUUAAAAAAAAAAAAGCAUGUUAAAGGCACAUAUUCUAAAUAGAUAAUUACUUUAUCAUCUGUUCACUGACAUUUUUUGUCUUUCCUGUUUUCUUGAUAUUUAGACUCUGGUGAGAAAAGUUUGAUAUAUGCCCUCAGCUAAUGAUAUUUUUUUCUGUUAACAUAGCAUUUGUCACUGGAUAACCUUUAGGAGAGCUUUUCUAGGGUGUAAUUUCCAUGAAACUGGGAGAAAUGGAAUUAUUUCUUGCCUCAAGCUAAACUGAAUUUAUCUCUUACUAAAAUCUCAGUUGUUUCUUUGUGUUGCCUCUAGGUGUUGCAGUACUCUCUCCGACUUGUGAGGGCUCAUUUAUACCUUGAGAACCUCAGAUAAGUUACCCUAGAGAAGAAUUAGAUCAUAUAGGUUUUAAACAAUUAUUUAGAACCUAGUACCUAGGAUAAAGGGCAGUAAAAACCCACGAUAUCAUCUAGUCUGGGCACCAGUGAGUGCAGUCUUGUGCCUUUUAGAUAUAGUUAAGUGCACAUUAUGUAGUGUUCAUCCCCCUGAGAGCAUCUUCCACAGCCCGAGACCCUGCAGCACCCAGGAGCGUUUCCUGACACUCACUGUACCACUUGCCUCACUUAAUAUCAUCCCAUUACUCUUAGUUACGGCCCUUUGAUUCACUUUUUUAAAUCCUCGCUUUUUGGCUGCAUAAACCUGCCAUACAUUUACAGGCAGAUACAUGUUGUGUUAUCCAGUGCACAAAGAGUGCAGCACACACUUUGCAGUGGACAGUUGUGAAAAGAAGUAGAGAAGAAACCUUAAUAGAUUGUGUUUGACUACAUGUGGAUAAAAAGAGCAGAGCACGGGGUGCAGUUCCUCUAGCCCCAACAUAUAUAUAUAAAGAAAGUUGAUAAGCAAUAUCCUAAAAGUGGCCACUUUCCUCCGCUGUGUAUAAAGAGGGUCUUCUCUGGUUAGAGGUUGUGUAAAAGUCCACACUGUUACCUAGAUACCUUUAGAUGCCUCAACCUAGGUGAGAUAUACUCCACUUGAGGUCACUGUGGUGAACCUUCCCACAAAAUAGCAGAUGUCUCAGGGGUUGUGUCCUCUCCAGCACUGAGAAAAGCAGAGAAAAGGAAAAAAGUCUCAUCCCUCCUCAUUGUCACCACUGUGUAGCCUGGAUCAUCACUCCCAUCAUUGCAUAAUUGUGUCUUCGUCCUACAAGGUGCUGAGUGCUCCAAUUCCAGCCUCUAAGUGUCAACCCACGGGCACUGAAGUGUCCCCUGGACUCUUAUGUUUAGGGGACAACAUGAACAAUUUGUCUGGUCUACCUUUGGGACACAUUUCUUCAUAAAGCCCCAGCUGGCGGUCUGAAAAGCAGUGAGUAGUGCUUUCACAUAUAAUGAGUCUAUGUGUGGAGGCAUGAGUUCAGGCAUUCCUUAAUCCUACAGCUUAAUUCGACAUAAUAAUUAAUAAGGGAAGGAGGAAAGCAAA